GCAGAGAGAGAGAGAGAGAGAGAGAGAGAGAUCGGAGCCAUGGCCGCCGUUUCGUCCCCUGACCGGAAGGAAGGCCGUCGUGUCGCGUGGAAGGAUUGUCUUCUGGAAGUGGUUCCAUUUUAACUCAGAGAUUCAUAAGUUAGGAGGCCUGCCCCGCCCUUCUUGGAGCUCCUAUGCUAUGGCACUGCACUGUCUGGAGACAGAGGGGAGGGACGAGGAGGGUACGGUCAAAGUACACAGAAAUCCCGGGACGUCCCCACCCGAUACUGUAGGCCCUACUACACACCAUCGACGAUCCAAACCAUAUCUGGCUCUCAACUCCCAGAACUUUUCAACAUGCGCCGGUGCUUUGGGGAGGGUCUUCCCCACGUGUCUCUUUAUUAUAUUAUUAUAGCAUUUUGUCCAUGUUCUUCCCAAGCUUGUUCAUCCUCCAAUGUCGUAAGUACAUACAUCAGCUUGCUUAUGUCCUUAAAUUCUUACGUGUGUGUUUCUAUCAAUAUAUUAUGAUAUGAUUUCUCUACAAUGUCUUCAAUGUCCAUGUAUUGGGAGUUCUGGCGGAGGUUGCAGGACCUGGCCUUGAUUUCCUCCUGCUUUACGACCUGCGAAGACAUGAUGAUGAUGAGGUAUUGCGUUUUUUCUUCUUUGAUUUAGGAGGUACCCUACACUGGCUGGCCCGGCUUCUUGGAGCUGCUUUGCUAUGCUUGCACUUUUCGGUAUCAAUCCACUUUGUUUGGGCCAUUUCAAACGGUGGAACUCGUAGAGUCUUUUAUGAAUUAUCAGAAUUUAAGAGAGUUGGUAAUAUUCUAUGUUGCUGUAAGAGUAUCCAUGAACGUGUCCGGUGAAUUGACUGAUGCACACAUCUGUUGCUUACGGACUUCCUCUUGCAUUUUGUCAUCAUCCAAAUGAAGAAUGUCGUCUUUUUUAUAGACAUUGGUUUGGGUUGUUUGUCUUCCUUUUAAAAUUGGCACAUCAGCUUUAACCACCUAUACGUUGAGCUUGAAACAAAUGAAUUUAGCUUCAUUUGGAUGUUAUGCUUAGUGCAGCAUUGAAUGUAGUUGUUUUUUCAUGAACCGGACAUCUAUUACCUGGUUGCAGGAAAACAUAAGACGAUGCGUCUGCAUCUUUUAUGAUCCAUCAAGAUCCAACCAAGGUGUUCUAGCUUUGAGUGCAUUGAAACUCUCUGAUUCAUUUAUGAAACUUUACCCCAGUAACAACUUUACUGGAGAGAUGUAUCCAUUUCUUUGCACAUUCUCUUUACAAUGACGGAAACUAUAAAAUUUA
This is an RNA transcript of Andrographis paniculata, 1281 nucleotides long. RefSeq lists it as uncharacterized. The transcript has 4 exons. NCBI's taxonomy places the organism in Eukaryota, Viridiplantae, Streptophyta, Magnoliopsida, Lamiales, Acanthaceae. The record is from RefSeq and is a predicted model, not a curated record.